Molecule: ribosomal RNA, 582 nt
Filed under: uncultured bacterium
Lineage: Bacteria
Description: bacterial SSU rRNA
Rfam family: Bacterial small subunit ribosomal RNA
Source: RNAcentral
CAGAUCUCCAGUCUUAGAGUUUGAUCAUGGCUCAGAACGAACGCUGGCGGCAGGCUUAACACAUGCAAGUCGAACGGGUGUAGCAAUACAUCAGUGGCAGACGGGUGAGUAACACGUGGGAACCUUCCUAGGGGUACGGAACAACUCAGGGAAACUUGAGCUAAUACCGUAUACGUCCGUGAGGAGAAAGAUUUAUCGCCCUUAGACGGGCCCGCGUCGGAUUAGGUAGUUGGUGGGGUAACGGCCUACCAAGCCUACGAUCCGUAGCUGAUCUUAGAGGAUGAUCAGCCACACUGGGACUGAGACACGGCCCAGACUCCUACGGGAGGCAGCAGUGGGGAAUCUUGGACAAUGGGCGCAAGCCUGAUCCAGCCAUGCCGCGUGAGUGAAGAAGGCCUUAGGGUUGUAAAGCUCUUUUACCAGGGACGAUAAUGACGGUACCUGGAGAAUAAGCCCCGGCAAACUUCGUGCCAGCAGCCGCGGUAAUACGAAGGGGGCUAGCGUUGUUCGGAAUUACUGGGCGUAAAGCGCACGUAGGCGGGUCGUUAAGUCAGGGGUGAAAUCCCGGAGCUCAACUCCGGA